GGAAUUACUUGGGCGUAAAGCGUUCGUAGGCGGUUAUUUAAGUUAGAUGUGAAAGCCCCGGGCUUAACCUGGGAACUGCAUUUAAAACUGGGUAACUCGAGUUUAGGAGAGGGAAGUGGAAUUUCAGGUGUAGCGGUGAAAUGCGUAGAGAUCUGAAGGAACACCAGUGGCGAAGGCGACUUCCUGGACUAAAACUGACGCUGAGGAACGAAAGCGUGGGUAGCAAACGGGAUUAGAUACCCCGGUAGUCCACGCCGUAAACGAUGUCAACUAGCCGUUGGGCCUAUAUACAGGUUUAGUGGCGGAGCUAACGUAUUAAGUUGACCGCCUGGGGAGUACGGCCGCAAGGUUAAAACUCAAAUGAAUUGACGGGGGCCCGCACAAGCGGUGGAGCAUGUGGUUUAAUUCGAUGCAACGCGAAGAACCUUACCUACCCUUGACAUCCAGAGAAUCUGUUAGAGAUAGUAGAGUGCCUUCGGGAACUCUGAGACAGGUGCUGCAUGGCUGUCGUCAGCUCGUGUCGUGAGAUGUUGGGUUAAGUCCCGUAACGAGCGCAACCCUUAUCCUUAGUUGCUAGCAGGUAAUGCUGAGAACUCUAAGGAGACUGCCGGUGAUAAACCGGAGGU
This 626-nucleotide ribosomal RNA is filed under the name uncultured bacterium. RNAcentral's name for it is "bacterial SSU rRNA". It matches the Rfam family "Bacterial small subunit ribosomal RNA", at positions 547 to 1170 of the family's 1533-position model. The record is from RNAcentral.